This 374-nucleotide RNase P RNA is filed under the name Klebsiella sp. Its description in RNAcentral is "RNase P RNA component class A". It matches the Rfam family "Bacterial RNase P class A". Rfam says of the family: Ribonuclease P (RNase P) is a ubiquitous endoribonuclease, found in archaea, bacteria and eukarya as well as chloroplasts and mitochondria. Its best characterised activity is the generation of mature 5'-ends of tRNAs by cleaving the 5'-leader elements of precursor-tRNAs. Cellular RNase Ps are ribonucleoproteins. The record is from RNAcentral. Lineage: Bacteria; Pseudomonadati; Pseudomonadota; Gammaproteobacteria; Enterobacterales; Enterobacteriaceae.
GAAGCUGACCAGACAGUCGCCGCUUCGUCGUCGUCCUCCUUCGGGGGGAGACGGGCGGAGGGGAGGAAAGUCCGGGCUCCAUAGGGCAAGGUGCCAGGUAACGCCUGGGCGGCGCAAGCCGACGGAAAGUGCAACAGAAAGAUACCGCCUACGUCUUCUUCGGAAGGCCGGUAAGGGUGAAAUGGUGCGGUAAGAGCGCACCGCGAGUCUGGCAACAGACCGGCACGGCAAACCCCACCUGGAGCAAGACCAAAUAGGGAUCCUUUGGCGCGGCCCGCGUUGGAUCCGGGUAGGUUGCUUGAGCGUUGCGGUGACGUAACGCCUAGAGGAAUGACUGUCCACGACAGAACCCGGCUUAUCGGCCGGCUCCGCCU